UGCUCAUUGGCACUGAUACUGGUUGAAGCGGACCUUGAAGCAGCUGAAGGAGGGUCCCAAGCCAUGUUUGCCACAGAUCAGGAUUCAACCUCAGAUGAAGCUCCGACUGAAAGUAUGAACCUGGUCUCUCCUGAACUGCCCAAUGAUGAGCUUCUGUAUUACAAUGGAGCAACUGCAGAUGCGAGCAGCACCAGUUCUGAAGCAGGAAACAGCG
This is a long non-coding RNA of Danio aesculapii, 214 nucleotides long. RefSeq lists it as uncharacterized. The transcript is spliced from 6 exons. Lineage: Eukaryota; Metazoa; Chordata; Actinopteri; Cypriniformes; Danionidae. The record is from RefSeq and is a predicted model, not a curated record.